ACUGUGGCCAGUAUUUAUGCAAAUUGAAAAAUUUCAUUGAUGAAGAAUGUGGCUCCUGGAUUGCAACUGUUGGCGCUGCUGAUAUGGUCUUGCAUCAAGUUGUUCACCUCAUUCAGCACAGCCGACCGGACAGGCCUCUGGAUGAGUUGUUGUCUACGGUUGUGAUUCUGGCUGCCUUACAGCAGAAUGUGCUUCAGCUCCUACAUCGAGGACAUUGAGGUUUCUAGGGUACCAGGUUAUUGUGUUUUGACCGGAAAUCUAUGCUGACAUUGUACAUCUUGAUGCUACACAAUAGACAGCGCUAUUUACCGCACUUAAUUAAAAACAGAUAUGCUUGUGGAUUCCCUAAGGACUGGGAACUGUUAAGAAUAAAGUGGAUCAUGUUUUUAAAAGCAGGAGAACCACAAGAUUUUCAGUGGAAGGGAAAUGACAAUGAAGCUAUUUUAGACAGCUGUUCCUCCUCCCAAAA
This is a long non-coding RNA of Schistocerca gregaria, 469 nucleotides long. RefSeq lists it as uncharacterized. The transcript has 5 exons. The record is from RefSeq and is a predicted model, not a curated record. Lineage: Eukaryota; Metazoa; Arthropoda; Insecta; Orthoptera; Acrididae.